Long non-coding RNA from Catharus ustulatus (Swainson's thrush), 18182 nucleotides. RefSeq lists it as uncharacterized. The record is from RefSeq and is a predicted model, not a curated record. The transcript is spliced from 4 exons. Lineage: Eukaryota; Metazoa; Chordata; Aves; Passeriformes; Turdidae.
UCCUGUUUCAAAGCGUUCUGGAUUGCUCACCAGAGUCUAUAAUUAUUUCCAUUAUAGCUUUUGGGAGAUCAAAGAAAACUUUGCUAUGUGUCAGGGCCUGUAGGUAUAGGUUAUCUUUUACUGCAUGAAGUUUAUCUCAUGUACCUGUGUGUUUCCAGUGUUUUGAACUCCAAUUCAAGAUGUUUUAAUGCUCUUCCAGCCAUUUGGAAUUUCUCAAGAAGUUUCAAUUAGCCAUAAUGCCAAAGCACAUUGGAGCACAACAUCUCUCAGUAACAGCUGUUUGUGCCAAAUCAUUAACUGUCCAAAAAUUUGCUUAGGUUUAGGUAAAGAUAAAGCUGGCAUGGAGGGUUUGUCAGUGUAGGCAUGGCCUAUUUCAGAUCCAUAUGCAUGCUUCCUAUGGAUCACCCUCCAAGGUGUUGGGUGGUGUAAAUGCACCACCACCAAAAUGUAUCCAAAUGCCUAGAAGAUGCUCAGACUACAGGUUUGUGCAGUUUAUCUACAUGAAAUACAAACCUUUUCCAUACCACAUGGAGCUCCUUAAAGGAGCUGGGGAAACAUGAGAUUUGCUUUCACUUUUGGGUAGUCCGCAGCGAGGCAGGAGUAGUGGCCCUGCAGAGGGUUUUGGUUGGGACCAGCAAUGUAUUGCCUAGUUCAGUCUCUCAAAUUAGUCAUACAAAGGUCUUUCCCAUUUCUCAGCAUUGAAGAAGAGAAAGGUGGUAAUAAUCUGAUAGCUCAAGUUUGAACUAUAUAAAAUGUUGAUUAAUGUUACCAUGGAGCCCACCUGGCAGAUUGAAUACUUGAUUGUAAAAUUAACUGUUCAAUAAAAGACACUUGACCUUUCUAAGAAAUAAAUUCUAUUUAGGAGAACAUACUCAUUAAUGCAUGUCAAGUGAAAAGUCCCUCUAGCACUGCUCCAUGGUGCAUCACUCGUAACAUGUGGUCACAGGUCUGCUGUCAGGUCUUUUGUCAUGAGAGGCUGGAUUCAGGAAGGGUUUCUGUGUUCAUGAAACUCAGGUUUUUAUUGGAGGUAUUUUGGUCUUGUGAGGAUGCAGCACUGAUUGAUUUGGUAUGCUGGCAAUGUUAAGGAAUUUUAACUUUGUGGUAAAGCACACAAGGAACAUGAAAUCUAAGAAGCCCAGCUCAAUGGUCCUAAAAGAGCCAUCUGGUGACCUCAUUUAUUAAUUUGAUGAAAAAACAAAGACAUGACGUUUUCAAUUAAGAGGAAUGUUUGGCUGCCCUGCCAGAAUUGGUUUUGGGGGAUAAGUAAGUACAAGUUAAGCUGAUAAUAUAAUCCUAAUACUGAAACUGGAAGCGCUGAUGUAGAUUGAGUGUAAAACAGAACAAGUAACUUGGAGGGCCUCUCAGAGAGGGCUAGACUGUAAAAAUUGUUUGAAGUAGGCAAAGUGUGUUUAAGUGAUGUAUUUACAGGGAUAAUUCUGGAGAUUUCCUUGGCAAAGUGCCUCCACCCAUUCCAACAGACACUAUUUAAAUAGUAAAGAAAUUGGUAUAUCUACCGAUAGGUACCAAACUAAUGCUGAUCUUUUUUAAGUACCUUCUCCUUUUGUUGCAGAAAGAAAUGACUGGUGAUGAUGUUUCAUGGCAAAAGAAAGCUGUCUGCUCUUUGUGUAAUUUCUGUUACACAGACAGCAAUAUCCUUGUUGCCCAUUUUGAAUGGCUGCUUCAUGGAUUUUGUCCUGCUAUGAAUCAGAAUUUUCUCUAAUAGUUUUCAUCUGCCCAAGAAGAAUUUGGCUCUUUGUGCUGAGAUAGCUGGAUAUUAAGUAGAUUUUGCAAUGGGAGACCGUAAAGAAUCUGUUUCCCCAUAAUGCAGGAUGUGAGGCUGAGAUGACAUUGUGCAAACCACAGUUAUUUUCCAAAUUGUGUCUUCCAUGUGGUGAAUUCCUUGCACUGGCAGCAGAUAACCCAUUGGUGCAGCCACCAAGAGAAAUGGGGCAGAAACCCUGUGCCAGCUGGUGACCAUUGCUGCUGAGUGUGGUACCCCAUACUGGGUGGGAUGUGUUGAAAAUAAGGGCUCAUCAGUUAGACGGUGUUUGGGUGAUGGAAUUAUUGAAUCCUCCGAACUCUUAACAGCUACUUAUAGCCUCUUUCAGCAGCAUAAAGCCAAAAUCUUACUGUGCUGUGAUCACUUAUGUCACCUCUCUCAUUUUGUCAGAAUAAAAAGAAGAUUCUAGCUAUUCUGGCCCUGGUUUUGUGCUUGAAUUGCCCUCACUACAGUUCAGAGCUGACAUGCUGCCUGCAAAGUCCUCCAGUAUUAUUAAAAGCCACAGCAAAUUUAAAUGUAAAGUGGAGGUGAUGGAAGAAUGAAAUUACAUGUGGAGUUUGGGGACUGUUACUUUAAGUAAUUACUAUCUACCUGUGUAAAUCCCUUUGAACUGCCUUUUGGAUUAAGUAUUCCUUACUCCUCUAAGUCUCUUGUUUAAUAUUCAUGUGUGUUUUUAAACAGCUGCUGCAUCCUGUCCAAGAAUAAAAAGGGGGAUGCAAUUCAGUAGCAAACCAAAUGAUACUUAGAUAUAUCCCAUGCAUAUUUCAGAGCAGCAGUUAAUUAAUAUAUAUCAAAUGCACUAAAAUUCUUGAAUGAGAAACUCUGUGGUUGUGCAAAGCAUAAUUUAUUUAUUUCAAGCUCUUACCUAGCCAUUUUGACCAUUUACUAAAUGCACUUGAGAGCAAGCACAUAACUUGCUAUAAUACUGACUUGAUUUCUUUUCUUUAAAUGGGAACAGAAUCAGAACACACUUUCCAACAGUAAAAUAAUUGCAGAAAUGUAGGUGCUCUACUUAACCUAAGAAAAAAAGCUCUUCACUUAAUUAGCUGCCUGGCAUUUUGCGAUGGUAAUAUAAAAAGAUUGUAUUAACACAGUGCAAUAUAGAAAGACCUUGUUAGAUUUUAUUGCAAAUUCUGCUUGGUAAUUUAUUAUGAUUAGAAAGCCUAAUUCUUUUGCUUUUCUGGUAAUUAUAGCAAGGUGUUUAUAAGCAGUAGUUCCAGCUGCUUUUCUGUAUAGUCUCAUUAGAUGUGAAAUUAGAAUGCUUUUUAGACUGUUAAUUUUUGCUCAUUACACAGAAUGCAUAAAGCAUUCUGAAAUGCAUGUAUUAUGUGAGGUCAACAUUGUAUUUUGUGAGUUGCUGUGAGAGUUUACAGCAAGGACAAUGAAUUUAGAUCAUCUCCACAGGAAGGCCUCUUUUAAUUUAUUUUGAAGACCACAUUUUUAAAAUCCUCCGCUGGAACAGGGGGUUAACUAAUAUUCCCCAUUCCAUUAAAAAGCAGUUUUAGGUGUCUGUGUGUACAGUCUCCAUUUGACACCUAGGAGUGUCUGGUGACAAUGUCCGUGUCUGAAUAACACAAAAGCCUCCUGAGGAAUCCUGUCUUUGUGUGGUAGUGCUCAGCUGACCAUUGUUCUCCUGGGAAUUUUUACGGAUUGCAAAACCCAGCUGGUCAGAACAAAAGCUUUAGUGACUGACCCAAGACUUCACAGGACAUUUGUGACUGGACACGGAGCUUAACUAAGGAAUCCAAAGCUUACAUCAUAUCAUGCGAUCAUCCUGAUUUAGGCUGUCAGGCUCAAGUUAUAAUAAAAAGCAUUGUCUGAUUCCAUUCUCUUGGAGAGAAUUUAGGCCAGUCAAGAGCCUAUUCUUAUUCAGUUUUGUUAUCUUCACUGUGGAAGAUGGGAUAGGAUAUCUACCUAGAGCAAAAGUGGACCACAAAAUGGCAGGCCAUAAUUAGAAAUCAGAGCUAUUAAAACUAUUAAUACUUACGUGUCUCUGUAUGUUGCAUUGUUAAUGAUAAAUUUUUGCUUUUACAAAUCUGCUAAUUGCUGGAAAUUAUUUGUCUUACGGUUUGGACAAAUGAAUGUCUGUUAGAGGAUGGAACUACCAUCUGUGAGACUUCAUUGGCAAUCUUGCUUUGGGAGGUACUUACUCAUAACACGAAAUCUGAGUGAUUAUUAUGGAACAAACCAGCCUCAUGAACUCUGAUGCAAUAAGGAUCAAUAUUUUAAUGAGAAUACAAAAUCAAACCUGGAUAUUUUAUUGAUGCUUAACUAAACUGGCCAUUAUUCUGACUCUCUGAAUGAGAGUCCACUGAUUUUAUUUGUUCCCAGUCUUUAGUGCCUCUCUGGAGAGGAACUUUGUAUAAGGGCAUGGAGUAAUAGGACAAGGGCAAAUGGCUUUUAAUUGAAAGAGGGGAAGUUGAACCACAGAAUCACAGAAUACACUGAGUUGGAGUGGACCCAUCAGGAUCAUCAAGUCCAACUCCUAUCCCUGCACAGGACCAUCCCCAAGAGGCACACCAUGUGCUUGACAGGAUUGUCCAAAUGCUUCUUGAGCUCUGUCAGGCUGGUGCUGUGACCACUUCCCUGGGGAGUCUGUUCAAUGCCCAAACACCCUCUGGGUGAAGAAGCUUUUCCUAAUAUCCAACCUAAACCUCCCCUGACACAACAGUAGGCCAUGCCCUCUGGUCACCAGAGAGCAGAGAUCAUGGCUCUCCCUCCUCUUCACUCUCAUGAGGAAGCUGUAACUGGGAUGAGGUCUCCCAUCAGUCUCCUCCAGGCUGAGCAAACCAAGUGCCCUCAGCCACUCCUCAUAUGGGUCCCUCACAAGGCCCUUCAACAUCUUUGUUGCCCUUCUUUGGAUGCUCUCUAAUAUCAUUCUUAUUUUGUGGUGACCAAAACACAAAUUAUUCCAUGUUAGAUUAUAUGUAAGAAACAAAUUCUUUACCCUGAGGGGGAUGAAGCACUGUAACAGGUUGCCCAGUAAAAUUUUGGAUGUCUCAUCCCUGGGAAUAUUCAUGGUUAGGCUGAAUGGGGCUGUGAAAAACUUGGUCUAAAGAGAGGUGUCUCUGCCCAUGGCAGCAGGGUUGAAUGAGAUGAUCUUUAAGGUCCCUUCUAGCUCAAAUCCAUCUAGGAUUCUGUGAGCUGAAUUAGGAGCAGCGAAAAGCUUAGGUAACUGUAACCAACACUUGUGCAUUAUCCACAGGUCCAAAGAAACUGAGUGUGAGAUUCAAUCCACAUAAUUUGCACCACAGAUAGGCUGGCUUUUAGAAUUACAGUUAUACCCCUAAAUAUAAGGAUAUAUCUCUACAGGCAAUAGAAAGACAUGGUGCCUUUGAAAGCAGGAGAUCCUGUGUGAGCUGAGAUGACCUGGUUAGAUUGGCCAAAUUGUGUACUAAGAAUUCAGCCAAACCAGAACAACAAAAAGAGCAAACAUAUAAGAAUAGUGAAAACCAUUACUACUUAAAAACAUGCUUUAAAUAUUCUGCUCCUGGAUCGAGCUGGCUUUGUUUGUGAAAGAUCUUUGUUUUUCAGAACAGGCAGUCCUGCAGAAGGAACCUUUUUUAGUUUUGAUAUUAUAUCUAGUUGUGCAAUGGAUUUUUUUGCACCAGUUUCAGUAUCUUUUACCUAAGGAAUGUGAGCUGGAGACAUACAAAGCACCAAGCCAAGAAAAUCCAUCCUGUGUGUGGUGCAAAUGUUGCAUGUCAGAGGGAAGGACAAGAUUGCUCAAAAGCUUUUUUGGUGAUUAAGCGAGGUGUAUGGGUGACAGCCUAAGAAUCCCAGUUGACACUCCACACAAAUUAAGAUGUAUACAUCUUUCAUUAACUGCUUGUCUGGUACUAUAACAGUUGCUAAAGUAACCUAAAAACAGGACUUUAAAUAUUGGAUAAGUACAUCCACUACUUUAAUGAGAUGAAGUAGCUGCCAAAACUCUUGGGAAGGUAAGGGACAAGCACUCUCAGCUCAGCUUUUCAAAAUGUAUUGUUUAUCAUGUGGGGCUUUGUGGUUUAGGAAUUACUACCAAGCCCCAGUUUUCCAUUGGAGUGCCUUUAUGUUUUCUCUUAUGCCAUUUAUGAGCUUUGCUUUCAAGAUACUUUCUUCCUUUUGAGAUUUUGGUUGAAGGAGAAAAUCAAUCAAUCAAGUUACUGAAUUUAUACAAGAGAUUGUGUUUUUAUUAGAAUUAGCUGUCCACUUCACUACAUUUUCAGCUUUGGCCUCUGCAGUUAAGAUGAAAGGGUGGGAUUUGUGCCCUUUUGAGGGACUUGCCUCUUUUUUGAUGUAUUACUCCUCAGCCCAGGAUGUCAGCUGUCUCUUGAAGUACUAGAGUGCUGAGGGGUUUCCUUCAGCAUUUGCCUACAGAACUUGGUGUAGCAUUAGGAUAUAUGGUGAAGGUCCCAGAAAUAAGGCUGUGCUGUCCUUGUACUGUGUUUUUUUGCAAGUUUUCUUUCCUUUCACUAAAGAAAGGCCUAAGAAAUGAACUGUAAUGGUGGUUUGUCAGAUACCAGAUUUGUGUUUGUGCUUGUAGCUUUGGGUGUUGAUUGUCAGUUGGUGAGGAGAUGGCUCUCUGGAGAAAUGGGAUGGGGUUGUGGGGGACAGUACAGUAAUAAUGCUGUAAUAAUGUUACGCCAGGUGCAUUUUGCAUUUUAAUGAGGACUGGGCAUUAAAUCAAAACAAUCCUAGGGUACUGGAGGAUGUCUGAUGAAAGAAAAGGGCCAGUGCCUUGAACUUUUGCUAAAUUGUGUGGAUGAUAAGUAAAGGAUUAGAGAGGAAGACAAAGGAUAGCUAGGACAUGUAUACACAGUUCUCAAUGGGAUAAACACAUAAAUCUUGAUUGGAUUACAAAUUUGAAUAGACAAAUACCGUCUAAUAAAAAUUGUAUUAAAUGGUUACACUAGGUUUGUGAGAUAACCUGUGCUGGCAAAGUGCUCUCAUCCAGCAUCACUUUCAAGGAUAAAUACAAGAACUGCAGAAUUUCUCAGUCCAGGUUAUUAUUCUGCAAGAUUUGCACUAAAAAAAAAUCAGAUGUGAAAGUUUCAGGAAGAACCUUCCUUGAAACAGGACUUGUUUUACUGUAUGCUAGGCUUUGACAAAGGUUUAGAGAAAUGGAUGUUCCUGAAUAGAAAGCUCUUUGCAAAACUCGAAAGCAUUUUUGUAGGAUUGUGAUUCAUUCAAAUUGUCAAUUUCCUCCAGUGUCUUUAGUGCCAGUCCUCAUCAUGUGUUUGAAAAAAAGAGUAGUAUAAGGAUAGUCAUGAUGAAAAGGAAAACGUUAUAGUUUGACAUAGUUGUUCUGCCAGACACGAUCUUUUUGCUGCAAAAGAGCCUCAGAGAAUAUUGCAAUUUCUUUUCAUUGCUUUCCCUGGAAGUCACUGGACAUGAGAGGUAUGGUAGUCACAUAUCUCAAACCCACUGCUCAUCAUUUAUUGCUAUAUACUAAAACUAUGCCAUAAACUCUAAUGCUUUUCCCCAAACCAAAAGAUAUUUGAGAAGUGUUUGGCAAAGAGGAAAGUUUUGAGGAGUCCUUCACUAAACAAUAAAGUUACAAUAGUUUCCAGCUAACACUUUUUUGAUUGGAAGUACAAUUUCAAUAGUGCAGUGAAAUGACCUAAAGAAUUUUCUGUAUAAAAGUUAUAUCGUUAGGGCUCACAAUAGCACCAGGAGUGAAUUUCAAACCUCUUGGGUAUGACUGCACAGCUGAGGGUGACAGAGAUUCUCUACUGUUUCUGAACUGGAUAAUGCUCUCAUAAAGCAGCAUCCAGUAAAGUGUGCAGAUCUCAUGUGGAAGCAAUAUAGCCAAGUGCUGAGGCUGAACAGAUGGCUCACAAAUGCAGAAGAAGCUGCGGUCAGCAAAUUCUUAGUAGUUGCUUCAAAUAUAGUUUCAUGACAAAGUUACUGCAAGGCAAGCAGGAGUAUGGAUUUCCAGCAAGUUUAUGAACUGCCCAUGUGCACACUCUCACUGUCCAGCAAACCACUCUCGAAGAAUGUGCUGACAGCUGAAAUCUAGUUGGAGAUGUCUUUAUUAGUGAACUAACCUGAGAACACACAUAUUUCCACACAGGAGACUCAAUCAUCUACAUGUAAAAUAACUUGAAUGUUUUCUGACAAGUUUUUGGCCCAUUUGACCAGGAUUCUUUCUAAGCACCCACAGCCCAGGGAUCAUCCCGUUAAAUCAGUGUACAUGGCUGCUCUCUUCUGGAGGCUAUAAGAGAAUUUUAAAGUGUGAAUCCAUGCUCAGCUCUAGAAAGUGAUUCCAAGUGUGCGUAGUUGACAUGGCGUAGUUUGUGUACUGAGGGUAGUGAGUAAUGUCUCACAAGCACUGUCAGAAAAUGCCUUCAGACUCUUCUUCAGAUGUUGCAGGUUGUCCCUGUUGAUCUUAUGGAAGUGUAUAAUCUAGACAAAAGAUGAUAUAUUGUCUGUGAAGAAAUCUGGUUAGCUGCUAGUUAAUGCAUUAAAAAAUAAGGCUCAUAGAGUUCAUGGAAAUGGAAACCUUUGGAAACUUUUAAAUCAUUUUUCUAAAGGAAUGAUGGCUCACAGUCUAGAGUGAAGCCUUGACAUAGCCCAGAAAGCCAACCAUAUCCUCAGGUGCAUCAAAAGCAGCAUGACCAACAAAGCAUGGGAGGUGUUUCUCCUGCUCUAUUCUGCUCUGGUUAAGGAAGACUGAGGGAGCUGGAGCUGUUUGGCCUGGAGAAGAGAAAGCUCCAGGAAGACCUUUGUGACUUUGUGACUUUUUGACUUUUUAAAUACUCAAAGGGUAUUAUUUUAAUAUAGGGUAUUAAUAUUAAUAAAUUAUAGGAUAUUAAAAUUAAUAAAGGGUAUUUUUUAUUACAAGGAUGUGGACAGACUUUUUAGUAAGACCUGCGGCAAUAUGUCAAAGAGGAAUAGUUUUAAGGUAAAAGGGGGUAGAUUUAGACUAGAUAAAAGGAAAAUUUUUUUUACAGUGGAGAUGAUGAGGCACUGGCACAGAGAGCUGGCAGCUGCCCCAUCCCUGAAGAGACUCAGGGUCAGGUUGGAUGGGACUCUGAACAAACUGAUCUAGUGGAAGACGUCUGUGAUCAUUGUAGGGAGAUUGGCCUAGAUGGCCUCUCAAAAUCCUUUCCAACCCAAGUGGAUUCUGUGAUAUGAAUAUUGAUCAUACUCCCCAUGAGAAAGCUCUCUGGAUUCUCUGGUUUAAUCCCCUGAACUUGUGCAAACCCCUCCAUCCCUGUCAAUCCAGUGGAUGAAUAAUUUUAACAGCUGCUGUUCUCUUCUGAUCAAGGAUGUAGGGCCUGGCAGCAGCAGCAUAACUUUACACAUGGAACCUCAUCUUGACCAAAGCUUCUUCUACAUCUCCACUUCAAUAUCGUAAAAACCUUCAUUUGGCCUAACAAUCAAAUCUCUCCUGACUGCAUUAUCUCCAGUUCACUGACCCAAGAAAAUCGAUUAUUUCUAUUAAACACAAAUAUUUUCAAUAGGGAUUUUCUACAUACUGUGCAAAACUUCAGCAUUUUGCAUAUAAUUUAAAUGUUCUAUAAUAUUUUGUUGAUCUUUCUUUAUUUGCUCUGUUGAGACCAAGCAUGAAAAAUGCCUUUUUCACAACAUCUGCAUCAUUAGAAAACUCAAAUUAUUUUAAGGAAGUAAAAUCUUCCCAUCCCAAACAGCAGUAAAAGUCCACUUUGUCACAGCAAUAUCCCAGUGAUGAAUGUUCAAGGGCAAAGCUUUGAUUAAUGACAGCUGCAUUUUGGAUUUCACUGAUGGUGAUUUUGUACCUCCUUCCAGACAGCUGCACACUUACUGCAAGUAUCUAACUAGACAUAUUUAUUAUGCCAGUUUGGUUAAGUAGUUGUAUAAAUGAAGCAUAUGGAUACUUGUAUAAUUUGCAUCUGCAGUGUGUGACUAUUAUGUGAAGUAGGCUUCUAGGAGAAGAGUAUCCAUCCUUCUGUUGAGAUAUUUCUAUUUUGUUAAAUUAAGGAGGUCUCUGAUUAGGUUCCAUAGAAAGGAAAUACUAGUCUGUUAAAGGUCCUGAGGGGUGAAGAGAUGCAGUUGUUCUCUAUUGAAAAGCACAUUAAUACACUGAAAGUUGUCCAGUAAUUUCAGCUGCCCUUCCAAAGUGUUCAGUUUAGCAAAAAAUUAGCAAAUUUUGGGUGAGCACAGCAAACUGUAAAGCAAGCAUACUCACUUCAAUUAAGUGUUCUCUUUUUUAUAAAUGUGAAAGACUAGUCAGCAGUUGUGCUACUGGAGUUAUUGUGUAGGAUUGCAACUGUAAAUAGGAUAUUGUGACAACUGGGUGGGAGUAAAGCUGAGGUGUGACUUCUAAAAUGACUGGUUUCACCUGUAAGUUGUUACUGUAAUUAAUUGAAGGGGUGUUUGUGCAGUGAUUGUUGGGAACUGGUAUUUUGCAUGCAAGCAAAGCUGUAGAGAAACCAUCAAUAUGAUCUGUAACACAUAUUCUGACUAUUUUAUUGUACAGAUGUUAUGUCAGCUCUAAAUUGAGUUACAUGAUGUGAGGUAUGUCUUCCUCCAUUUUAUGCCCAGGCAUGUCCUGCAAAAUAGAAGCUCCCAUCUCCAUUUCUAUUACUCUCCUCUACCAAUUUUUUAAAAUAUUAGGUUUUUUAAGCUAUCCAUUGUAAACUAUGUAUUUUAUACACAAGACAAAAAGUAAUAUAAUAAGGUUGAUUAUACACAUUGGUAGAUACCAAACAGGCUUCAGGUCCUCGAUGUGCCACAUUCUCGUACUUCGUCUCUGCCUGAGCAAGGAUUCCAGCUCUCCUUGGCCUGUCUGUGUUUGCUUCCUCCUUGCCCUAGGUGUUUUCCCCCACCACCUGCUGUUACCUGCAGCAUAAAUUCUGAUUUACCUUGAGGAAACAGAGCAAGAGUCUCACCACAAAAAAGGAACCUCAAUUGUUUUGUGACUGUAGUCAGCAGUGUUGCAAUGCAGAGAAGGAUGCACAGACAGAUUUAUGGCUUCAGAAUUUAUUUCUCUUGUGAGUUGUUACUAGCAGGUAAGGUUCAAAAACCACAUGCUCAAACACUAAUUAUUUUUGUUUAGGGACUGCAGUCAUGAGGGUAGAAAAAUCCUAUAAGGUGGUGCUAGGAGUUUUACACAUCACUGCAGCAAACAAGGUUUUGAGCUAGAGAAAAUGCCCUACUCCCACAUCCUCAGCAAAUUCCAACAAAUUAGUGUUAAUUUUGUCUUUUUCCUUCAUGUACUAUUUAAGUACGUCCUCUUCACAAGCUAAUAAACCAUAGUGGUGAUAGUGUCUAAAAUGAAAGUAUGUUAAGAAAUAUUUUACUUCCUAUUGUUUUUUGUUCUUUGUGUACAAUACACUGUGCUCCUUAGGACAAGAAAUUAAUGCAGGUGAUGCAGUUUUUUUUGGGGGGUGUUACUCUCGAGGGGAUAGUUUAUACAUACAAAUUUCUUUUUUCCUGGUUGGCGGGGGCCGGGAACAGUGAGUAAGAGCUGUCACCAGGUGGCACCAUUAACCUAAGUUAUGUUUCUGUGAGGCUACUGCAAUGAAGUUUAUGUUCAAAAGAAAUUUAGUAGAGAGAUUGCUCUUUUCACCUUCCUUCAAAGUAAACACACAGCACAGAGAAUAGGCCAGAUACUUCUCUUCACUGACACAUUUUAGAUUCUUUAAUGCAUUUGCAGUGCUAUAAUGUGGUGAAAAUUCUUCCCUGCUUGGUGUAUGGUAAGUAAAAUGCAUGCCUAUAUUUCUCCAGAAAACCCUUGCCUGCCUAAAAGUUUUGCAAUAUGUUUCACAUCUGGUGCAUCCAAAAGCAAAAUUUCCCCUAGUGAAAUCCCAGAACAAGACCAGGGAAUUUUCAGAUUAAAAUACUCGUGCCUAAAUAUUGUUAGAACAUUUUAAGACUAUUCUAUGAAGCUAAGCAGUAAGAAAUCGAUUUUCUUUACUUACAGUGAGUAGCACCAUGGGCAGUGCAGGGGAGAUGAUGAGCCCCAUCCCUGGCUGCUGUUCAGAAGUGGUGCUGGUGGUGCCGACCCCCUCUGCAUCAGAACUGCUGCAGCCUCCAUCAGCUUGUGCUGCUUCUUGGCGCUCACAGGGUGGUGUAGCUGUCCUCUGAAGCAAGGAACAAAACUUUUUCCCUUGCAGACAUUUAAAUAGCUUGAGUUGAAAAGUUAGAGUUUGUUUUGAAAGGGUCAGGUUGCUUUUUAAAUGGCUUUCAGUGAAUUUUAUCAGCUUGAUCCUCAGAUGGUAAACAUCAUGGUGUUUUUUCUGAAUAGUGAUAUUAACCUACUGGCAGGAGACUAGGGUGGCCCUUGGGAAACAGCAAAUUCUUGUCUUCCAAUCAGGUGUUAAAGAAAUGCAGACCAUCAACCAGUUCUUUCUGAAUAUGCUGAAGUAUUUAAAGUGAGCAAUGUUUUAGCUAGCAACUCUGGGAUGCUUUAAAGCGUGGUUGUAGGGUGCAGGUUGUCAUUCCUACUUAGCUCAUAAAAGUAAGCAGGAAACCAGAGAUUUAUACUUUAAAGGAUUAUUUCAUUAAAUUUUUAUGAGAGUGAAACCAUGAAAUAGAUAUUGUUCAUGUGAACUGUGAAUUGUAAGGUCACAUCAAAGCAGUAGGUUGAUUAUACUGGGGCGUGUGCUCCCGUUUCAGUGAUUUCAAGGGCGUUACUGGGUAGCAUUUCAUUGUACUAAACUGCAAGUCAUGCUGUAAUUUAAGUUAUACAUAUUUUAUGUGACUUUUUUACCUUUACUUGCUUCUCUGGUCAGCUGUGAAGGUUACUAAUUAUGCAGUCUUUGUGUCAGUGUCCAGUCCUUGUGUUGAACAGAGGCAGUAGAGUCUGUCCUUGGGGAUACUAAAACCCUGAGUGGACUCAGCUCUGAGGAACUCGAUCUGUUAUGCCUGCUUGAGCAGGGAGGUUGUAGUAGGUGUUCUCCAGAAGUGCCUUCCAAUCUGCCACUCUGGCUCUGUGUCUAGCAGAAGAAAACUCAUGGCAAAUAGAAUUUAGGAAAUUCUCUAAUUAAGCCUGUGAAAUGCCCCAUGUGGAAACUGCAGAACUGUUCUCAGGUAGACUCCUUGCUGGUAAAGAUAAGAGCUAUAUUCAGAGCAUGGGAAAAGAACAAUUCUCUUGAAAUUUACAUUUUGUUGCAGCUUCUUACUGAUGUUUACCCAUUGCAAUGUAAUAGACACUUAAAUUCCAAUUUGUCUUCAUCCCCUAGCAAAGCAGAAAAUGUGCAUGGUGAAUCUUUCUACUGGGUGCUGAGCAGUUGUGGAAAUAUUUUUAAAUUUUUUUUUUUAAUUAGUCAGUUAGUGAAUUAGGAUUUGGGUUAGAAGGAAGAAGGAUUCAGCAACACAGUAUCUUAAAGAAAAGUGCCAUUAAGGUUCUGACAAAAAUAUUGUCAGUUCUGAACCAUCCUGUGUGUUCACUCAAACCUUUUCAACUUUCAGUGUGCUGACUCAGUGGGCAUUUUCAAUAGCAGCAGUAGCAGUAUUAUUACUCUAAGGAAGAAAGUGAUGCAGGACUUGUAGGGAGAGCAAGAUAACCAAGUAGAAUUUUUUUGACAAAAGAGGGUAUUGCCUGAAAGAGUGUCUCCCUGAUGUUGAUUUUAUUGGUUUAUGUAAUAAAAGGCAAAUGGAAACAGUGACAUUAUCAAAUGCAUCUGUCAUCCAAAAAAAUGUUCUCUUUUUUUCACUGUUUGAAGGAUCCAAGUGAGAUAUCAGGAAUAUUACUCCUGAGUCAUGAUAGGACUCAUUUAUUGUUUUCCUGUUUCACUUUUUAAUGGAGACAUGGAUGUGACCGCAAAAUGGAAAUAAAUCUGAUAUGUAGAUAUCGUUAUCUAGAAUGUUGCUUUCAGUAGAAUCCUCAGCACUAUAAAGCCUGUAUAUCAUGUAAUAACAUAAAUCCUAAAUUCCUCGGUGUCAUAAAACACUAGCAAUACUUCAAACCAUUUCUUUUUACUGUUUUCCUGGGGGGUUUUAAUUUUUGUAUUUCCUCUUUAUGUAUUUCUCCACAUUAUUUCACAUUUCUGGUUGCAAUUGCUUUGCCUUUUUUUUAAAAAUUAAUUUUCUGUAGUCAGUAGCAAGUCAUUGAUUUUGUACAGGCAUCAUCUGGAUUUCCAGCAAGUACUGCAAGGAUCCAAAUAUUUUCUUGGGUGUGAUGCUGCAGGCAGCUACCUGCGCUUGUAACUGAUUCUGUUCCUGACAGCUUUAAAUUAUUGCUGUUUGCUUGCCUGCGAGCCUUCACUGAAACUGAAAUUCUUGCACAAGCCCAGAUAUAUCAGGAAAAAUGUGGGCAAAGCAUAUGAAGAAAACAAUUUAUCCAUCACUGAGAGUCAAGCAGUGCAUAACAAUCUUUCAGCAGCUGGUCAAUGGUGAACAGGGGCAGUGGCCAUUUCAUAAUGUGUGAUUUGGGGUCAGAAUGUCUAUAGGACCUGUAGACCUCCUAUUUGCUUUUCAGAAGUAUAUCUGCACUGAUAUCUGCACAUAUAGGCAACUGAUGAAUAGUUUAUAUUUCUUUUUCUGUUAGGAGUUUGCAUUCAGGUUAUUAUUUAGACAUUGCUGAUCUGAAGUGUAGCAGAACUGACAGGUGGUUGUUUUGACUGGAAUGGAGCAGAUCUGGUUUCAACUAACCAUAAACUCAAAUGGGGGGUUUUCAGUAAUCUUCACCUGGAUGAAAUUUUUUGUGAGUGAUUUUUCUUCUUAAUUUCUUUUUUAAAUGAAUUGACAAUAGCUAAAAUUAUUUAUAAAUUACAUUCAUGCUUGGCAAGGACUGCUGACUGAAAAAUAACCAUAGAAUAUAUCACACUGAAGGGACCCAUAAGGCUCAUUGAGUCCAAUACCCUGCUCCUCACAGGACUACCUGAAGAAAACCAGAUGACUAAGAGCAGCAUCCAGACAUUAACUCUGACAGGCUUGGUACUCCGGCCAUAGAAUCACAGAAUCAUAGAAUGUUAGGGUUUGAAAUGGACCUUAAGGACCAUCUAGUCCCAACACUUCCUGCCAUGGGCAGAGAUGACUUCUGCUAAACCAGAGGUUGCUCAAGGCUUUAUUCAACCUGGCUUUGAAUUCUACAGCCUCCCUGACCAACUUGUUCCAGUGGCUUACCACCCUCACAGUAAAAAACUUCCUCCUAUUAUCUAACCUAAACUUGCCCUCUUUCAAUUUGUAAAUUUCAGUUUCUUUUCUGGAUAUUUGUGGGAAAACAUAAAGGCAUUUUAGAUGUAUCUCUGGACUAGGCAGUAGCUGGCUAAUAGUUUCCUGUUUGGGGGUAUGGAGAUGCACGUAUCCGCUUGUUUUCAGUGCAUGGUACUGACCAAGCUACCAAGUGACUGGCACAGGUUUCCAUUCUGGCUGUAUUCUGAAAUUUGAAUUUUCAGUCAUUUUCUUCUCUCUAGGUCAGUUAACCCAACUUAACUGAAUUCUGUCAACUGCUCUACUCUCUCUACAAGUAAAGCAAAAUGCAGCAAUGCCUGACUCAUGCUUGUGUACCACAUUUUUUAAAAUAGGUCUAAAUUAUCAUAUUUUUCUGUUUUGUUUUACUGGCUACAUAUCAGAUACCCAAGAACUUUCUGGGAGAACACACUCCUAAAAUUUUCACAGGAAUCUCUGUGGUUCUAAUAUCAUUGGCUUGCACUGAGUCUUAAUUGAUUAAGUCCUAAAUCAAGCUUGAAAUGCUGAUUACCCAAAUGACAGUGAAAUCAUUUUUCCAUGACUACAGCUAAAGGAACUUAUAGUAUAAUAUAGUAUAAGUAAGUUAUAAUUAAUAAUAACAAUAUCGUAUAAUAUAUAGUAUAAUAAUUAUAGUAUAAUGUAAGGAGCGAUGGAGAGUCUGGCAGAGGCAGGCUCUACAGAAGAUGCACAGAAAGGUGAGCAUAGUGGUGUUUGGACAUGUUUUUAUAAGAUCUAAAUAAAUUUAAGCUUAUAAAUAUGCCAAGGAGCUGUAUCUUUCUUAUGUAAGUUAUUAAUUAGUUUGAGUGGUGGAAAAGGAAAUUCUAGCUCAGUUACAGUAGCACACAACUAUUUUCAGUGUAGUUGGGAAGCACUGACUGUGCACUGAGGGGACAGUGCAAAGUCAGUCUCUUCUCUGCUGCUGCUGUUCCUUUUACACCUGAAAACUGUGUCAUGGGGAACCCCUGGAGCUUUUUCUUCAGAAAACUACUCUGAAUUAGAUUCCUUCCUGUGCCAGCAGACUUCCUUUCAAUCAAGGAAAAUAUUCUACUGUCCUUGAACUGUUAACCUGUGAGAUGGAAUAGCCAGCUCAGUGUGUUUGUCUAAGUCCAGUUCUCAAGAGCAGGGGCUUAGCUGACCUCCUGGCCAGGACAACUGCUUCUUACCUGCUCUUGACACUAUUUGUUCUCUUUUACUUGCAGCUCUGCUACAACUGACAUUUUCUAUGAUUCUAGCUCUGAAUGGCCUGAAUACACAAACCCUUCUGGUUGUAGUUCACAGCAAAGGUCAACACUAAAAUUGAAAAUAAAUUAAUUUGGCAUAGAUGCUUGUGUCUCUGCUGUACUGCCCAGGUGGGAGUCAGGGGUGGGUGAACGUGUUCAUUAAAAGAGAUUCCUCCCCAGACUGGAUGUGUUAGUGAAACCCUAACUAUGAUGCUGUGUUUGCCAUGUAGGUAGCAGGUGGGUGAUUCUGUAGAAGCUUGGUAACAAUAAUCACAUCUGUACAGCGGUGGAUGCUUUCUAUGCAUAGUGUUUAUUUGAUUGCUUUUUUUUCUUCAGACUUGUCUUCCUCUGUACAUCUGUACUCAAUACAUUGUAUUUGGUAAACUCAGACCUAUCAAAUGAGAGGGGAAAGAUUUUUCUCUGGGGUUAGUUGGUUCUAACAUUCAAAAUGUCAUUUGGAAAUAUGUCAUCUAAGUGUCUCUGAUGUUUAACAACUUGUCUUUAGCUGAAAAACUAGUUUCAUGGAGAAACCUAGAGAAUGAACACAGAAAAGCAGAAUAGAAAAAUUCUGGAAAAUAAGAGGCAGUAUUGCUCUUCCUUUCAUUCUUCUUGUCUGCUUCUGGGUAUUAGUUAGAUUAAGUAAGCUUAAAAGACAGGAGACAAGAAAGUAAAUACAUCCAAAUUUCAUACUUACAUUAACGGAACAAUACCCUGAAAGGGAAAUCAUGCCAAAAGUUGCAUCUGUGCCUUUUGCAAGAUGGUGAUAAAAAAGCAAAAGAAAUCUCUCAAUUUUCAAGAUAGCUUCAAAAAGAAAGCAACCAGAAAUGGAACCACCUCCCACACUUCAUUGCCAGCAGCUCUUGCAUGUGAUGUGCCUGGAUGCCCAAAAGAUUAGCCAGUCUCAUCCACCUGGCCCAUGUCACAAGGAUCAAAGACAUUUCUCCAUCUACAAACAUAAGCUCCUGCUCUCAAAGUGAAGAGGACAAAUUGAAAGUUAUAGUCUGAGAAGAUUGAUAGGGACAUCAGACUCUUGAGGGGGCACAGUCCUCUCAUGUGGCAAUGCAUUACGAGCAACAAAAAAGCUUUGCAGGAGCUUCGCAGGGCUCAGUCCCAUUCCUGAGGUUGCCAAAUGGGCUUUCAUGUGGCAUGGCAGUAAGAACCUUGCUCUUUUAGUGAGGAUGAGAAAUAAAUAUUCUAAAUGGGAGGAAGUUUCACAAUCAGCAACAAAAAGUUCUUCUACUCUGGUAUUUUUCAGAGUUCAACUUCAGCCAUCAGCCUGUACCCGAGGACCAUUACUGAUCACUACAGCUGCAUCACUUGCACUGUGGAACUUUUUGACAUCUAGGAGAACUCUGCUAUAAAGAAUGUGGACAUGAAGACCAGCUUGUGUAUUUGUGUCCCUGAAUGUCUUCCACUUGAGGAAAACCUGUGUGCUAUUGGAUAAGGUCCUGAAACAUAAUUUAAAAGCAUCACCAGCAGUAAAAACCUAUCAUGAACAGGGAGAAAUUCUUCUUGAACAUUAUUCAUUUGAAUCAUGGAGCUGUAUAGAAGCAGAUGUUGAUAUGCUGCAGCUGACGUGUGACAGUGCCAAAUGGACAUCCUUUGAGACGUCAGUUCUAACUUCCCUAAGUCAUCACUACUACAUCUCUUAGUAGGACAUAUUUUUUAGGGAAUCACUCAGUAUGUGUAUCAGCUUUCCCAGUCCUAAAUUUUUUUAAGCUGCAUAUUUCUUUCAGAGUGAAAAUUUGAGACAGUGUAGGCUGUGAAUUGCUGUGAAGACCAAAGCCACAUUCUUCACUUUUAAGGGACUGGUGUGCUGGCAUACAGAAGUCUAAUGUUCCAUGCACUUUAUGAUUUUCCACUUUAUUGAAGAAAUAAUUCUAUUUGUAGUUUUAUGAACUUGCAGUCUUGAACACUGCAGGUCACAGUUUUGUCUAUAGGCUGUUCCAUCUUGAAUGAAGAAAUACUAUAUGUUGUUAAACCCCUGGUUUCCAAGAGUUUGUACAAAGAAAAAAAUGAUGUUUGACUUACAAAAUGUAAUUUUUUAAAAGUUGAACAUUUAAUAAUAAAUUUAUUUUUUU